AUUUAUAUAGUUUAAAAAAAACAUUAUAUUUUCAAUAUAAAAUUAAUACCUUAUUUAUAAAUU
Molecule: transfer RNA, 63 nt
Filed under: Andrena bicolor
Lineage: Eukaryota; Metazoa; Arthropoda; Insecta; Hymenoptera; Andrenidae
Description: tRNA-Glu
Source: RNAcentral